AGCGAACGCUGGCGGCAGGCUUAACACAUGCAAGUCGAACGGAACCUUCGGGGUUUGUGGCGGACCGGUGAGUACCACGUGGUAACGUGCCUUUAGGUUCCGAAUACCUCCUGGAAGCGUGAGGUAAUGACGCUUGUGCCCAUCGCGGGUAAGAGUUAUCGCUUUUUGAGCGGCCCGCGUCUGAUUAGCUGGUUGGUGAGGGAACGGCGCACCAAGGCGACGCUCAUGAGCUGGUCUGAGAGGAUGACCAGCCACACUGGGACUGAGGCACGGCCCAGACUGCGACGGGAGGGAGCAGUGGGGUGUCCUGCGCAAUGAGGGAAAGUCUGACGCAGCCAUGUCGCGUGAAUGAUGAAGGUCGUAGGAUUCUAAAAUUCUUUCUCCCGGGGCGUGAAUGACGGUACCGGGAGAAGAAGCCCCGGCUAACUUCGUG
This 433-nucleotide ribosomal RNA is filed under the name uncultured bacterium. Its description in RNAcentral is "partial 16S ribosomal RNA". It matches the Rfam family "Bacterial small subunit ribosomal RNA", at positions 29 to 507 of the family's 1533-position model. The record is from RNAcentral.